This 253-nucleotide ribosomal RNA is filed under the name uncultured bacterium. RNAcentral's name for it is "partial 16S ribosomal RNA". It matches the Rfam family "Bacterial small subunit ribosomal RNA", at positions 524 to 776 of the family's 1533-position model. The record is from RNAcentral.
UACGUAGGGUGCAAGCGUUGUCCGGAAUUAUUGGGCGUAAAGAGCUCGUAGGCGGUUUGUCGCGUCUGCUGUGAAAACUCAGGGCUUAACCCUGAGCCUGCAGUGGGUACGGGCAGACUAGAGUGUGGUAGGGGAGAUCGGAAUUCCUGGUGUAGCGGUGGAAUGCGCAGAUAUCAGGAGGAACACCGGUGGCGAAGGCGGACCUCUGGGCCAUAACUGACGCUGAGGAGCGAAAGCAUGGGGAGCGAACAGG